This 460-nucleotide ribosomal RNA is filed under the name uncultured bacterium. RNAcentral's name for it is "partial 16S ribosomal RNA". It matches the Rfam family "Bacterial small subunit ribosomal RNA", at positions 338 to 795 of the family's 1533-position model. The record is from RNAcentral.
CCUACGGGCGGCAGCAGUGAGGAAUAUUGGUCAAUGGGCGAGAGCCUGAACCAGCCAAGUCGCGUGAAGGAUGACGGCCCUACGGGUUGUAAACUUCUUUUGUCAGGGAGCAAUUGGGUCCACGCGUGGGCUUAGCGAGAGUACCUGAAGAAAAAGCAUCGGCUAACUCCGUGCCAGCAGCCGCGGUAAUACGUAGGUGGCGAGCGUUAUCCGGAAUGAUUGGGCGUAAAGGGUGCGUAGGCGGCCUGCUAAGUCUGGAGUGAAAGGUACCGGCUCAACCGGUACAGGCUCUGGAAACUGGCGGGCUAGAGAGCAGGAGAGGGCGGUGGAACUCCAUGUGUAGCGGUAAAAUGCGUAGAUAUAUGGAAGAACACCAGUGGCGAAGGCGGCCGCCUGGCCUGUUACUGACGCUGAGGCACGAAAGCGUGGGGAGCAAAUAGGAUUAGAUACCCUGGUAGUC